AACGGCGAGUGAAGCGGCAAGAGCUCAACUUUGGAAUCGCUCCGGCGAGUUGUAGUCUGGAGGUGGCCACCACGAGGUGUUCUAGCAGCAGGCAAGUCCUUUGGAACAAGGCGCCAGCGAGGGUGACAGCCCCGUACCUGCUUUUGCUAGUGCUUCCUGUGGCCCACCGACGAGUCGAGUUGUUUGGGAAUGCAGCUCUAAGUGGGUGGUAAAUUCCAUCUAAGGCUAAAUAUUGGCGAGAGACCGAUAGCGAACAAGUACAGUGAUGGAAAGAUGAAAAGCACUUUGAAAAGAGAGUGAAACAGUACGUGAAAUUGUUGAAAGGGAAGGGCUUGCACCCAGACACGGUUUCGGCCGGGCCAGCAUCAAGUAGAACGGGGUUAAAAGACCUGGGGAAUGUAGCUACCUCUUGGUAGUGUUAUAGCCCUUGGGUGAUGACCCCUGUUUUGCUUGAGGACAGCGGUCUCUAGGAUGCUGGCGCAAUGGUUGCAAGCCACCCGUCUUGAAACACGGACCAAGGAGUCUAACGUCUAUGCGAGUGUACGGGUGAAAAACCCCUGCGCGGAAUGAAAGUAAGAGGUUGGAACCCUCUCGGGGGUGCACAAUCGACCGACCCAGAAGUGCUCGGACGGGUUUGAGUAGGAGCAUAGCUGUUGGGACCCGAAAGAUGGUGAACUAUACCUGAAUAGGGUGAAGCCAGAGGAAACUCUGGUGGAGGCUCGUAGCGGUUCUGACGUGCAAAUCGAUCGUCGAAUUUGGGUAUA
This 764-nucleotide ribosomal RNA is filed under the name Candidozyma auris. RNAcentral describes it as "eukaryotic LSU rRNA". It matches the Rfam family "Eukaryotic large subunit ribosomal RNA", at positions 85 to 919 of the family's 3401-position model. Lineage: Eukaryota; Fungi; Ascomycota; Pichiomycetes; Serinales; Metschnikowiaceae. The record is from RNAcentral.